RNAcentral lists this ribosomal RNA (274 nucleotides) under uncultured archaeon. RNAcentral describes it as "partial 16S ribosomal RNA". It matches the Rfam family "Archaeal small subunit ribosomal RNA", at positions 1062 to 1344 of the family's 1478-position model. The record is from RNAcentral.
AGUUGCCAUCGAUGGGAAGUCGGGCACUCUAGGGGGACCGCUGGCGCUAAGCCAGAGGCCCCAGAGGGCAACGGUAGGUCCGUAUGCCCCGAAUCCCCGGGGCUACACGCGGGUCGCAAUGCGCAGGACAAUGGGAUUUAACGUCGUAAGAGGAAGCCAAUCUCCUAAACCUGCGCUCGGUUCGGAUCGAGGGCUGUAACUCGCCCUCGUGAAGCUGGAAUCCCUAGUAAUCGCGUGCCACACGCCGGUGAAUACGUCCCUGCUCCUUGCACAC